Molecule: ribosomal RNA, 253 nt
Filed under: uncultured bacterium
Lineage: Bacteria
Description: partial 16S ribosomal RNA
Rfam family: Bacterial small subunit ribosomal RNA
Source: RNAcentral
UACGUAGGGGGCAAGCGUUGUCCGGAUUUAUUGGGCGUAAAGAGCGUGUAGGCGGCCUGAAAGGUCAGCUGUGAAAACUCGAGGCUCAACCUCGAGACGUCGGUUGAAACCAUCUGGCUAGAGUCCGGAAGAGGAGUGUGGAAUUCCCGGUGUAGCGGUGAAAUGCGCAGAUAUCAGGAGGAACACCGGUGGCGAAGGCGGGUCUCUGGACCGAUACUGACGCUGAGGAGCGAAAGCGUGGGGAGCGAACAGG